GACGAACGCUGGCGGCGUGCCUAACACAUGCAAGUCGAGCGCGAAUAGGGGGGCAACUCCCUUAGUAGAGCGGCAAACGGGUGAGUAACGCGUGGGUGAUCUACCUUCGAGUGGGGAACAACAUCGGGAAACUGGUGCUAAUACCGCAUGACAUCCUCGGAUCAAUCCGGGGAUCAAAGCUGGGGACCGCAAGGCCUGGCGCUUGAAGACGAGCCCGCGUCCGAUUAGCAGUUGGCGGGGUAAUGGCCCACCAAGGCUUCGAUCGGUAGCCGGCCUGAGAGGGCGGACGGCCACACUGGGACUGAGACACGGCCCAGACUCCUACGGGAGGCAGCAGUGGGGAAUAUUGGACAAUGGGCGCAAGCCUGAUCCAGCGAUGCCGCGUGUGUGAAGAAGGCCUGCGGGUUGUAAAGCAC
This 416-nucleotide ribosomal RNA is filed under the name uncultured bacterium. Its description in RNAcentral is "bacterial SSU rRNA". It matches the Rfam family "Bacterial small subunit ribosomal RNA", at positions 28 to 433 of the family's 1533-position model. The record is from RNAcentral.